UACGAAGGGGGCUAGCGUUGUUCGGAAUCACUGGGCGUAAAGGGCGCGUAGGCGGCUUUAUAAGUCGGGGGUGAAAGCCUGUGGCUCAACCACAGAAUUGCCUUCGAUACUGUAGAGCUUGAGACCGGAAGAGGUUAGUGGAACUGCGAGUGUAGAGGUGAAAUUCGUAGAUAUUCGCAAGAACACCAGUGGCGAAGGCGGCUCACUGGCCCGAUACUGACGCUGAGGCACGAAAGCGUGGGAGAGCAAACAGG
RNAcentral lists this ribosomal RNA (254 nucleotides) under uncultured bacterium. RNAcentral describes it as "partial 16S ribosomal RNA". It matches the Rfam family "Bacterial small subunit ribosomal RNA", at positions 524 to 776 of the family's 1533-position model. The record is from RNAcentral.